UAGGGAAUAUUGGACAAUGGGCGCAAGCCUGAUCCAGCCAUGCCGCGUGAGUGAAGAAGGCCCUCGGGUUGUAAAGCUCUUUUGUCCGGAAAGAAAAGCUUUGGGUUAAUACCCCGAAGUCCUGACGGUACCGGAAGAAUAAGCACCGGCUAACUUCGUGCCAGCAGCCGCGGUAAUACGAAGGGUGCAAGCGUUACUCGGAAUUACUGGGCGUAAAGCGUGCGUAGGUGGUUCGUUAAGUCUGAUGUGAAAGCCCUGGGCUCAACCUGGGAAUGGCAUUGGAUACUGGCGGGCUAGAGUGCGGUAGAGGGCAGUGGAAUUCCCGGUGUAGCAGUGAAAUGCGUAGAGAUCGGGAGGAACAUCUGUGGCGAAGGCGACUGCCUGGACCAGCACUGACACUGAGGCACGAAAGCGUGGGGAGCAAACAGGA
This 430-nucleotide ribosomal RNA is filed under the name Acidobacteriota bacterium. Its description in RNAcentral is "Acidobacteria bacterium partial 16S ribosomal RNA". It matches the Rfam family "Bacterial small subunit ribosomal RNA", at positions 355 to 777 of the family's 1533-position model. Lineage: Bacteria; Pseudomonadati; Acidobacteriota. The record is from RNAcentral.